Molecule: ribosomal RNA, 253 nt
Filed under: uncultured bacterium
Lineage: Bacteria
Description: partial 16S ribosomal RNA
Rfam family: Bacterial small subunit ribosomal RNA
Source: RNAcentral
GACGAACCGUGCGAACGUUGUUCGGAUUCACUGGGCAUAAAGGGCGCGUAGGCGGACGGUCAAGUCGGGGGUGAAAUCUUUCAGCUUAACUGGAAAAGUGCCUCCGAUACUGAUCGUCUCGAGGGAGGUAGGGGCAUGUGGAACUUCCGGUGGAGCGGUGAAAUUCGUAGAUAUUGGGAAGAACACCGGUGGCGAAGGCGGCGACCUGGUCCUUGACUGACGCUGAGGCGCAAAAGCGUGGGGAGCAAACAGG